RNAcentral lists this unclassified non-coding RNA (287 nucleotides) under plant metagenome. Its description in RNAcentral is "partial contains small subunit ribosomal RNA, internal transcribed spacer 1, and 5.8S ribosomal RNA". The record is from RNAcentral.
UUUCCGUAGGUGAACCUGCGGAAGGAUCAUUAUUGAAUAAACUUGGUUAGGUUGUUGCUGGUCCUUAGGGGCAUGUGCACGCCGAAUCCAUUUUUAGCCACCUGUGCACCUUGCGUAGAUCUGAUAAUCUCGAGGAAACUCGGUUUGAGAAUUGCUGUGCAAACGGCUCUUCUUGUAAUCAGGUCUAUGUUUCUAUAUACCCCACACGAAUGUAUCAUGAAUGUCGUAAAUGGCCUUUGUGCUUUUAAAAACAAAUACAACUUUCAACAACGGAUCUCUUGGCUCUC